UCGAAUUCCACAUAAUGGAGGGGGAUGAGUGGGAAACCAGUUGGUCCGUUCAGCGGGGGAGUAACCAACCUCUCAGCGCAUAACAAGCCCGCCUGUUGGCAGAGUAAGUACUGUCCGGGGCUUGUUGGACGGGGCUUCUGCGAGUAAGCUCGCCCUUACCACACCCUUGUCUUUUGCGUACUACUUGUUUCCUCGGCAGGCUUGCUUGCCGUUUGGACAAUAUUAAACUCUUUUUGUAAUUGCAAUCAGCGUCUGAAUAAACUAUAAUAGUUA
Molecule: unclassified non-coding RNA, 273 nt
Filed under: uncultured Ascomycota
Lineage: Eukaryota; Fungi; Ascomycota
Description: sequence contains ITS1
Source: RNAcentral